GAUGAAGAACGCAGCGAAAUGCGAUAAGUAAUGUGAAUUGCAGAAUUCAGUGAAUCAUCGAGUCUUUGAACGCACAUUGCGCCCGCCAGUAUUCUGGCGGGCAUGCCUGUUCGAGCGUCAUUACAACCCUCAGGCCCCCGGGCCUGGCGUUGGGGAUCGGCGGAGCCCCCCGUGGGCACACGCCGUCCCCCAAAUACAGUGGCGGUCCCGCCGCAGCUUCCAUCGCGUAGUAGCUAACACCUCGCGACUGGAGAGCGGCGCGGCCACGCCGUAAAACACCCAACUCUUCUGAAGUUGACCUCGAAUCAGGUAGGAAUACCCGCUGAACUUAAGCAUAUCAAUAAGCGGAGGA
RNAcentral lists this unclassified non-coding RNA (352 nucleotides) under soil metagenome. Its description in RNAcentral is "partial contains 5.8S ribosomal RNA, internal transcribed spacer 2, and large subunit ribosomal RNA". The stretch from base 1 to 120 matches the Rfam family "5.8S ribosomal RNA", at positions 35 to 154 of the family's 154-position model. The record is from RNAcentral.